Notolabrus celidotus (New Zealand spotty) is the source of this 2504-nucleotide long non-coding RNA. RefSeq lists it as uncharacterized. The transcript is spliced from 4 exons. NCBI's taxonomy places the organism in Eukaryota, Metazoa, Chordata, Actinopteri, Labriformes, Labridae. The record is from RefSeq and is a predicted model, not a curated record.
CAUGACUCCACAUACUUUUGUUUGCACGUCUUUCCAGAUUGCCACAAGCAAUAUGGCGGCGACGUUGGCGUACGACCCGGCUAAGCGGUUUCUACAUAUGCCUGGAUAUGUCUAUGCUAAAAACUAUUAGCACACACCAACUGUCAGUCAUUGUUAGCAUUAAGGGAGCUUACCAUUUGUUUGGUUCCACACAUGUCGAGGUCGUAUUCAAAGUUAAUGUAAUCCCGUGUAGAUGUACUGGCUCGGCACGUCCCUAGUUUGACAUGAGACUGUAGUUUAUUAUCGGUGCCAAAAACGCUCCUCUCCACCUGCACGAGCAUCUUGUUCUGCAGGCACGAGGUUCUCACGGAAUCACCCGAGACGUUUGGCGGACUGGUUUUUGGUCGGACCGGGAGCAGGACCUCACGAACGGGCUCAGGUAAAGGUUCCUUCCCGGUUCCCCUGACUGGGGAGAAAUGCUCCUUCUCCACGAGCGGCAGCCGUGAGUCCACAGACACUGGGAGGUGCAGGUAGGGUGGAGGUAAGAGUGGCGUUUCUCUCCGGGAGACUUCUUUCAUGGCCUGGCGGGGCUGAGUUAAAGCACCAACCGUUGGUGUUGUUAUCAACAUAAAUGACAACGUGACAAUAAGUGAACAAUGAACCAUAACCGGAACUUUUGGUCGACGAUUACAAGUUUGUGGUAAAUUCUAAGAUUAGAAACUGAACCUUCAUCUCAGAGUGUUUUCAUGUGUGAUUCUGGGGAGUCCAAUCAACAGCAUUUGUUGACUGACCGAAACACCUGUUGGAAAAAGGCGGGUUAAAACAAACUGACGCCUCAUGCUGGUGGGUUCGAUGUCAACGGUUCCCAAAGUGUGGGUCGGGACCCCCCUGCUCGGCUGGAGAGGCAGACCUGCUCCCGGGGACAUUUGAUGGGGAAUCGGAUGCAGUCUAUAGCCUUAAAGGACACAAGAGAAGGGUUUCUGGUUUCAGCACGCCCCCUGCUGGAGAAAAGAUGGCAUGGCCCGCUUGUCCACCUGCUGCCGCCUCAUGCGUGUGACAGCGGCGUCUACCUGAGCUGCUGCUCUUUUGCCGUGCUGGUCGUCCAGCAGCUGCAGACAGGCGCGCUGUAGCCUCACCAGCUCCCCCUCAUUGGAGUGGACGGCCUCCCGGUCCUCCCCUCAGAGCUCCUCCUGUUGAUGUUCAGAUGAGUCCUGAGGCUUCGAAGCAUCCUCUCCAGGUGACCCCUCUCCCUCUCCAGCUUGAUGCCCUCCUCCCUCACCUUGCCAGCUUGCCUGCGCAGCUGACCCUCCACCUCCCGGACUCUCCGCAUGUACUCACCUGCCACGGCAACACUGGUUCCAGCACACUGCUCACGCAAGCUGGUAGGAGGGAAAGGGGCCACAAAUGUCCUCUGGGAGCCACCUCGAAACUUCAGACAAAGAUAGACUGUAAUGUCUAAAUGACAAAACUAGUGUGGAGUACAUUCCCUCAAAUACUGUGUAGGGUAUACAACACAAUACUGCUACCCCUCCAUAUUUCACAAUGCACUUUUAACUUGAUGUAUUAGAUAUUAUCUUUUGUUUAUAGUUACAUUAUAUAGGCUUUUCUUUUUACAAAUCAUGUGGAUGUUCUUAAGACUGACUGCUCAUGACUAAAUAAAGUAAUACAAUUGGACAGCUCUUAAUGUUAGGAUCAGCUUUGAACACACCUCAUCUUAGGUUAUUUUUUAGCUUUAAACUUUAAAGUUUCUUGUCUAUUUCUACCUUUUUAGUUUGGAAGAACAACCUGCAGAUGUUUUAUUAUUGUCACUUAAGAUGCUGCCUCCCCUCAGUUUUCAGUUUCCAUGUGGGCUAAAGGAAGUCAGCUGAAAUAUAUCUGUUUGCAAGCCUGUGUUUGUCUUACAAUUGAUCCUGUAGUUUGGGGUCUCGACAAAGUCUUAUUGCAAAUGCAGUCACGACUUUCUUCCACUUUUUCCCUUGUGAUCUUAUCUCCUGUGGUUUCCGCUGUGCUGUCUGGUUGCUCGGGAGUCAAUAAACUUGCGGAGGCGCUGCAGAUCCGGGUCCGUCCUCCUGCCCGAGUCUGCCGCACCAGGCGCUCCGCUCGCCGGAUGGAGCGAACCGUGCCAUCUCGCCAAGACCUCGGUCCAAUGGUGAUAGAGCUGAGAGGUACUGACUGGACCUGCAUUCCUACACGUGCACUUUAAAUGAUAUCCAGUUAAACGGGACUAUAAUCGAUCACUCCUCCAAAUACUCUAUGUCCACAUGAUGCAUCCCGGUCUCGCCUGACUCUGUGUAAGGAUCUGAGCUCCAUAGCAACUGUUCUUGAAGUAACAAGAAACUCAAAGCUGUUCAGUGAUUGGGUGGUGAGGAGGAGACAGGAGGCACUGACAUUCAACACGGUUUACUUGCCCCCCGGUUCAGGUUCAGAGGUUACAUUCCCAUUCAUUUCCCCCAUAGAUAAAUUACUGAAGAGGAUUAGGGCCACUGGAAGAUUUUUUUUUUUUAAGGACAUGUCUUUUUAUUAUU